UACGGAGGAUGCAAGCGUUAUCCGGAAUGAUUGGGCGUAAAGCGUCCGCAGGUGGCUAUGUAAGUCUGCUGUUAAAGAGUGAGGCUCAACCUCAUAAGAGCAGUGGAAACUACAUGGCUAGAGUGCGUUCGGGGCAGAGGGAAUUCCUGGUGUAGCGGUGAAAUGCGUAGAGAUCAGGAAGAACACCGGUGGCGAAAGCGCUCUGCUAGGCCGCAGCUGACACUGAGGGACGAAAGCUAGGGGAGCGAAUGGG
This 253-nucleotide ribosomal RNA is filed under the name uncultured bacterium. Its description in RNAcentral is "partial 16S ribosomal RNA". It matches the Rfam family "Bacterial small subunit ribosomal RNA", at positions 524 to 776 of the family's 1533-position model. The record is from RNAcentral.